AUCUAGCUGACGAGUUCCAAAUUGGACGAAACGGGGAUCCUGGAU
Schistosoma mansoni is the source of this 45-nucleotide non-coding RNA. The record is from Rfam. Lineage: Eukaryota; Metazoa; Platyhelminthes; Trematoda; Strigeidida; Schistosomatidae.